UCCCUUGCUUUUUCUUUCCAUUAAUUAAUCAAUCGUUUCUUUUGCACUAGGCAUAGAAAUAACAUCCAGUAAAGAAAGAUGCUGCUGCCCAAUAGAAUUUGGAACCUAAGUAUGGGAUUAGAGAGUAUUGGAUUAGAUGCGGGAACAGUAUAAUAGGUAGGAACUCGAUAAGAUGCCGAAGCGGGAGUGGGAACAAGAGAAGUGAUUCGUUAUAAGUAAGGAGCUGUAGUAAAGUAAGGCUUAGCUCUGGUCGGUUAAGAAAGAAAGGUAGUUAGCCCUUGGUGGCUUGGCUACCAAUAUGGAUAAGUAAGAUCUACUACUAGGUGGGUCAGGCUCGUAAGCUAUGAAGUAAGGCAAUAGUGGGCUCGUAAGCUAUGAAGUAAGGCAAUAACUUAUUAUACAGAAUUAGCACCUAGGUCCUCUGUGUUAGAAUAUGAAGUAAGGUAAGCCUAACAAUAGAGAUAAAGAAUACAAGUAUGGAGUUUCAGAAUAAGAUAAAGGAG
This 503-nucleotide long non-coding RNA is filed under the name Musa acuminata (dwarf banana). Its description in RNAcentral is "long non-coding RNA (MACU_LNC009399)". The record is from RNAcentral. Lineage: Eukaryota; Viridiplantae; Streptophyta; Magnoliopsida; Zingiberales; Musaceae.